Long non-coding RNA from Phyllostomus hastatus (greater spear-nosed bat), 996 nucleotides. RefSeq lists it as uncharacterized. The record is from RefSeq and is a predicted model, not a curated record. Lineage: Eukaryota; Metazoa; Chordata; Mammalia; Chiroptera; Phyllostomidae. The transcript has 4 exons.
CUCUGCCCCGGCUGCUCCUGAUCGCUGGCUGGGGCCGGCCGCACCCUGCACACACUGGAGCGGCAGGUUUUCCCAUCUUGCACUGUGUUGCUUUUAUGAGUCCUCUGGCAUUCAUUCUGGAUCGCAGAGAUUAACCCCAUUCACGAAGGGCUGGCAGGCUGUGAAUGGCUGAGAGGCAGCCGAAGGAGCUGGCAAGAGAGGCCGCCGCCGUCAUGGCCAGGUGCCUGCGGGAGGCAAGUGUCCAGGGCUGCACCCAGCCUGUGUGUCUUGAUUGGGAAUGAGACCAGCAGCCCGGCCCGUGUCUAUAAAUAACCAGCCCACGACGAUUCGUCCCUCCUGGUUGCGAUCGUCCGAACAAAGAGAAGCAGCCCGUUCCCGAGUCGGAGCCGCCCUGACCACUCCGAGGCCUUGGCAGCAUCUGCGUCUCAGAGAGAGAUUUCAGCGGUGGCUGCACCAGAAUCCUCCCAGUGAGCCACUUGAUGCGGCAGCAGAGAUUAAGUCAGACUGGCCGGGCAGCAAUUUACACAAACGCCCGUUUGUCCUUGAGGACGGAGCACGGCUCUUUGAAAGAAGGUGGGAAUGCAAUCAAUAUCGCUGCCUCCUCGCAGGCCAGGGUCUGGACACGCGUGUCAGCCUGUGACCAUCACAAGGACCCUCGUCGGUAGAUAGGGUCACCCCCUGCCCGGCAGAAAAGAAGUCAGAGCUCACGGAGGUGGCACGGCGUGGACGGUUUCACAGGGACAGACCUGGGAUGUACAGCCAGAUCUCUCCGGCUGGGAAGUACCUGUUCUCAAGGAAAAAGGACAUCUGGGGGAAAACUGGCGACAACUGGGCCAGGACUGCAGGUUAGUUGGCGGUCACGUGCCAGUGUGAGGUUCCCGGUUUGGUCGUUGUACCAUCGUUACGUACGACGUCGGCGUGAGAGGAAGCUGGGCGAGGCGCGUGCCGGGAGUCUCGGUGCUGUUCCCACACCUUUUCUGUCACUCUAAAAUGAUU